GGGUUGUGAGGUUAAGCGACUAAGCGUACACGGUGGAUGCCCUGGCAGUCAGAGGCGAUGAAGGACGUGCUAAUCUGCGAUAAGCGUCGGUAAGGUGAUAUGAACCGUUAUAACCGGCGAUUUCCGAAUGGGGAAACCCAGUGUGUUUCGACACACUAUCAUUAACUGAAUCCAUAGGUUAAUGAGGCGAACCGGGGGAACUGAAACAUCUAAGUACCCCGAGGAAAAGAAA
RNAcentral lists this ribosomal RNA (232 nucleotides) under Escherichia coli. RNAcentral describes it as "partial 23S ribosomal RNA". It matches the Rfam family "Bacterial large subunit ribosomal RNA", at positions 1 to 224 of the family's 2925-position model. The record is from RNAcentral. RNAcentral also lists the same sequence under 1 other name. Lineage: Bacteria; Pseudomonadati; Pseudomonadota; Gammaproteobacteria; Enterobacterales; Enterobacteriaceae.